ACGGACUCCUACGGGAGGCAGCAGUGGGGAAUAUUGCACAAUGGGCGCAAGCCUGAUGCAGCCAUGCCGCGUGUAUGAAGAAGGCCUUCGGGUUGUAAAGUACUUUCAGCGGGGAGGAAGGGAGUAAAGUUAAUACCUUUGCUCAUUGACGUUACCCGCAGAAGAAGCACCGGCUAACUCCGUGCCAGCAGCCGCGGUAUAAU
This 203-nucleotide ribosomal RNA is filed under the name Escherichia sp. enrichment culture clone AVCTGRB2B. RNAcentral's name for it is "partial 16S ribosomal RNA". It matches the Rfam family "Bacterial small subunit ribosomal RNA", at positions 331 to 526 of the family's 1533-position model. The record is from RNAcentral. Lineage: Bacteria; Pseudomonadati; Pseudomonadota; Gammaproteobacteria; Enterobacterales; Enterobacteriaceae.